This is a non-coding RNA of Microcebus murinus (gray mouse lemur), 240 nucleotides long. The record is from RefSeq and is a predicted model, not a curated record. NCBI's taxonomy places the organism in Eukaryota, Metazoa, Chordata, Mammalia, Primates, Cheirogaleidae.
GCUCUCUCUCGGCCGGCCCCACCCCUGCAGAUGCAGAAUUGUCAUUAUCUUCAUCACUAUCCUCCUCAUCAUCGUCAUCUUCACCAUUGUCACCAUCAUUGCCACCCUCAUCGCUGCCAUCAUCAUCAUCAAUACCGUCAUUACCGCCACCACCAGAACCAUUAUCGUCAAAAACUAGUCUAUCUGUUGCUGAAGCAACGACUGAAUCCAUCACCUCUGUGGAACAGCAAACACCAAUAA